GCGAGGCUGGAGGCUGGGAGGCUGCGUCUGCGGGCGCGCCAGGAGCCGAAGCAGCGAGCGAGCGCUCUGCAGAGGGUGGUGGACGCUGCUGAAGGUGAGCAAGACCCCGGGGGCAGUCCCCAAUGUCCCGGGGCAACGCCCAGUCCGUUAGAAGACCCAGGGACAAUGCCCAAAUUUGGGGGAAACUGGGGGCAAUGCCCAGUCGUUUUCCUAGACUCGAGAGAAGACUGCCCACGUCCUGGCGGACGCACUGCCGAACCAAGUGUGUUUGGGGAGUACAGAGAUAAAUUUCCCAAAUCCGAGGAGCUCGGGGGACUCCGUAGGAAACUCGGAGAGGCCCGAAACUAGUGGUGCUGUGCGCGGGGUUGGGGCCGGGAACGACGCGCAGAUACCGGGGGACGCAAGUCAGAGCUCCGUGCGAUUUGCGGGCCGAGAAAAUGAGCGUGCCGAAGUCGGGCGCCCAGGAGAGGCUCCGCUGAUGCGGGGAACUGUGCUUACUGACUAAAUUCGAGAUUCCAGAAAGAGAGUCCACGUCUGGAGCAUCAGGGGAAAUUGCUCCGUGCAACUGGGGGACAAAAGAUCCGAGUCUAAAAAGUGGGGAACCCAGCAUAUUGGUCAGCAAGCCUGGGAGGAACCCCAGACCAACUUGUGGGGGAGGUGGGUUUGGGGGUGAGUCAAGGAAAAUUCUCAACAUGAAACUUGGGGGGACCCAAGAGGCAUGUUGUCUAAAAUUGGCGAAAAAAACAACAGACACAUUUUGGGGAUCUAGGCAAAUUCUCCAGGGCGGUGGGGGAAAGUAGACAUUGAUUUUCACGAUUUAGAAAUCCAGGAGUGGGUGGAUGCUUGCCCCCAGGAAAGUGACCUCCACAUUGUCAUGACUUCAGCAAAAGUUCUCUGUCCUUGAGAGGGUCAAAAAACACGUCUAAGUUUGGGGGAACCUGAGGUGUGUUCAAUACAUUCCGGGAAUGCAGAAAAUCAAUGUCCUUUUUAAUUUUAAUUUUCUAUUGAUUUCCGUUAGUUUGUUUUUGGUGAACAGGAAAAAAAUAUCCUGUUUUUCUGGGCACUGUUUGCAUUUGGGGAACUCUAGCAAAGCAUGACCCACGUUUUAGGGAUCCAUGAAAAUGUUCAAUAGAGAUGGAUAUCUAAAUUUCAAGAACCCUGGUUAGGAUUGAGGAAGCUUCUAGAACACAGGCCUAUGAUGCCCAGGAGUUCUAGGACCCCGGGAUAUUUUUUGGUCCCUGGACAUUUUAAUUUUGGGGGGCCCAGGGAAAAUUGCCUAAAUUUAGAGGCACUCUGGGCAAGGGUCGUAAAUUCAGGCAACACAUAAAUCAGUGUCCAAAAAAAGCUCAAUUGGUUUGUGGAAGAAAAAAAAAAAAAUCUCAGUUUGUUUUGAAGGGCUGGAAGACAGCCUGUCAAUUUGGAGACCCCAGGAAAAUAAUUUUUGAAUCUGGGGAUCCAGAGAAGGUGCUCAGAGUCCUCAGGAGAACUGGGGGGUCAAUAGCUAAGUUUUAGGGGAAAAAAGAUUAAUAAGAGUUCCUAGAUUGUGGGGCCUGGAGAAUCGAUGUCCAAAAUUUGUGAUCUGCAGGGCGCGUGCAGGGUGCGGGAGACCCAGGAAACGUUGCUGAAAUUUGGAGUCACUCAGUGGGUGCGUGGGACCCUUUGGAACAUGGGAAAUCGGUGCCUUUCUGUGAUAGGGGGGUAAUACUGAAUGUGUUUGAGGGGCCUGCAGGACUAUGCCUAAUAUUUGAGAGAGCCCCGCAUGUCCAAAUCACAGAGGAUCAGGCAUAGAGUCCAGUGUCCUCCUGGGACUUGGGAGCAGUGUCCGAAUUUUAGAAAACAGAUUCUUGUCAGUAAGCCAGUGGGACCCAGAGAAUGUUUUAAUGUUCAAAAUGUUAUAAUGCAGAGAAAAUGUUUCGGAUGUUUGCGGACUGGGGACAGUCCACAGAGCCUGGGAUCACAAGCUGUAGGCUCUGAGCAAGGGUUUGUUUCGUGUGUGGUGUGACCCAGGGGGACCUGUGAGACCCUGUGUGGUUUGGGGGACCCUGCAGAAGCCCGGGCCACAAUGGAGCGCAUCUCAGGGUAUUGCUCAGUGUGCCUUCGGGGGCCUGGGUAACUGUCAAAACGUUAAGGAACCUGAUUAGUGCCCGGGGAGCUUGGAGAGCCCCAGAAAUGCGUGCCCCAAGUCUUCAUGGUCCACAAAAAAAAAAAAAAAUUGCUUAGUGAGUUCUGGGCAUCAGGAGUCAUCCUCUGAAUUUUGUGGAACUCAGGAAAUCAGAGCGCACAUUGUUAGUGAUCCGGAAAAGGGUUUGGUGCGCUUUGGGUGUAAAGUCUGAAUUUUGGUGGAGGCACAGGAAGCAGCCCCCAGACUCUGAGGGUUCGGGGCGGAGGGGGGGAAUUCCUUAGUGUGUUGGGGGAACCUGGGAUUCUUUGCGUAAAAUUUCAGGAACCCAGGUUAGGAGCUAAUAAACACGUGGAACUCAGCGGAUAAUGUCACCAAUUGUGGUGUAUCAGGGAACAGGGCUGCAGUGCGGAGGACCCAGAGCAGGGACAGUAAGCUUGGGAGACCCUGUAGUUAAUGUGCAAAAUUAUGGGGAUAUAAUCGUUUACGUGCACUUGUUUGGGGAACAAUGCCUUAAGUGCCAGAAAAACACUGCCCACAUUUGGGGAGCCAGGCAAACUGGUCAGCGUGACCCGGACCCGGGGCUCGUGUUUAAAUUUUAGGGGAUCCCGGUUGGCAGUGAGUAAAGGUGUAGAACCUGGAGAGGGAUAUGUAAAACUCUUAAGAGCCUGGAGAAAACGCUCGCUGAGUUUGGGGACCCAGACCACUAGUGGAAAUCUGAGGGAGCCGGUGGCGGCUUGAUGUGUUUGGAGGUCCCCGGAAAUUAACGUCCAAGAAAACUCUCAUGACCUGGAGAAACGCUGAAUAUAUUUGGAGGACCUGAGAGCAAGGCUUAAAUUGGAAGGAUCCCAGAAAAAAUAAUGUCCGCAUUUGUGGGGAGCAGCGAAGUGUCUCCGUGGGUUGGGACCCUGGAGAUGGAGGGCUACGUUGAGAGGCCAAACUCCCCGGGCGGACCAGGGAAGCAACGCGCCGCUGGAGAUCCACUGCGUCUGGGGACUCGAGCGGUGCAGUGGCGCCCUCCCCGGGGGACCCGAGCGCGGGCCGCGCGGCGGCGGCGGCUCCGGGGCGAGGGCGCGGGCAGGUAGCGCGGGGCUCCCUGGGGCGCGCGCCCCGGCGGAAUGGAAUCUUUCUCUUGCCUUCUCGCCACCGAGGGCGCUUCUCUGGCGGAAGCCCGGGCGAGCGGGCGUCGGGGUGGAAGGGAGAAACCCGAGAGCCGCGAGGGAGCCACAGGGCGCUGCUCCCCGGACGCUCCUCGGGCUCCCGGGUCCCCGCUCGGCCGCCUCCGAGGAGGCCCGCGGGCUCCCCGCCGCCGCCGCGCCCCACGCGCUCCCGCGCUGCGAGCCUAGGCGAAGCCGCGACCGGGCCGCCGCCGCGGGCAGGCUCGUCCCCGGCUCGGCUGGGGGGCCCCCGGGAGCACCCCCGGCAGUCACCCCCGCGCGCCCCGGGACUCCGCGAGCGCCGUUCUGGCCUUAGCCAGUCCCCAAACAACGCGGAAACCAAUUUUGUUAUGGUAAUGUGAGAGAAGAACAGCUGAGGGAGAAGACGAGAAAAAUGGGGGAGAGUUUUAGGGGGGCAGAACUGCACGGUGGCGGGGUGCCUGGGGUCACCUUUCGUUUUCUCUUAAGAGAAUUUUCACGCAAAGCCGCCCUAUCCGGCUGGGAAAGUCCAGUUCCUUAAAGGCAAAUAUUGGACCAGGCAGAGCAAGGCGCUGCUGGCUGGAACAGGAUCAGCCCAUCGGAAUUGGGCAAUGUUGGGGGUGGGGGCUAGCCACCUGGGGGAUCUGUGGGGUGGGGGCUGCCAGAGAGGAGGUGCUGCUGGGGAGCAGCGGAAUGGUGGGGGUCCUGGGACCAGUAUGGUCGGCAUUGCUGGUCCCCACUGUCACCCCACAGAGGGACCCUGGCUAGAAGAGGAGCAGCUCAAAGCCUGCCGCUCUGGGGAAGCAGGGGUUAAUGCCAUUGGACAGGUGUGGGGACCCUGGCAGGGCUGACGCAGCCCUUUCACAUUAGCUUGGCAAGACAGGGAGACCGCUCCCCCCCCCCCCCCCCCGCAAAACAGCCCGUUUCCACCCAGAGCUGAAGGCACGUGGGGAAUGUUCCCCCUUCAAAUUCCAGUCCGCAUCAAUCACCCCAUGUCCCAUUCCAAGAACAUCUGGCCUGGCUCCCCCCAUCGCUGCCCCUUCCCCUCUCCACCAGCCUUCUGCAGUGUCAGUGCCUGGCUUCCAGGCCCCUGUGGGUGUGCCCGAGGGAGGGAGGGCCAGGAGGGACCCUCGGCAGAGAAGCCCCCCGGUGUCCUGCCCUUGCUCCCCACUUCUCCAACGCGACUUGUAGAUGGUGGGGUGGGGAGCAUUAAAAAGGGCCUGUCUGCUAACCCGGGUCCCUGGGAACCCAGAGCAGAUUUCAAAUCCUCCAUGAGAGACUGUGCUCAAGGACAGACAAACAGAUGCCUGCCGGGCUGCCUUUGGCCCUGCUCUGGGGCCUCCACUUUCCUCGAGGCCUGCUUCCCAGGCUGGGGGUGGGUGGGUGCUGGGGUGAGGGCCCCAUUUCAGAGUGUGCGCUUUCCGCCUCCUGGGGGUGCCCAGGGGCAAUCCCACCAGUGGUCCACUGGGGGGGGGGGGCCUCUCCUGCUGUCUUCCCUGCACAGGCGCCAGUUCUGGAGGAACCUCUGCCCAUGCUUGAUGAUGUGCGCCUGGACCCUGGAGGGCGCCUGCCCCGGAGGCUCAGCUCUGGGAGGGACGCACCCGCGUGUCAGCCCUGGCUGAAGGCAGGGGACCGAGGCCCCAGCCGGAACCACCAGGACCUGAGCACAAGCCGCCCUAGGCACAGGGCACCACAAGCCCCUGACCGAUAAACCCAAAAGCCAAAAGAGCUCCCCUCCAGAGGACCAUGGCCACCGCCCAGACUGCAGGGGACCUGCUCUGCCCACACCUGAGCCCCCCGGGGAGAGAGGCACCUGGACUUGACCACCUGAAUCCCAGAUACCAGCUGUGUGACGCUGAAUACACCCCCAGCCUCUCUGAGCCUCUGCUCCGUGUGAAAGAGCAGACUGGAACUACAACUGUCUGGGGAGCUCCCAGCACAGAAGGAAAUCAUGCCCCUGGACAGAGCCUGACACACGGAGAGCUGUACCAGUGGACACCUCGUUCCUGCCCUGG
Long non-coding RNA from Equus quagga, 5270 nucleotides. RefSeq lists it as uncharacterized. The record is from RefSeq and is a predicted model, not a curated record. Lineage: Eukaryota; Metazoa; Chordata; Mammalia; Perissodactyla; Equidae. The transcript is spliced from 3 exons.